GUGGAUGUGGCGCGGUGAUAGUGCGACUGCUUGCGACGCAGAAGGUUCUGGGUUCAAUUCCCGAUGGAGCACUCACA
Molecule: non-coding RNA, 77 nt
Organism: Phthorimaea operculella (potato tuberworm)
Lineage: Eukaryota; Metazoa; Arthropoda; Insecta; Lepidoptera; Gelechiidae
Source: the annotation of a GenBank genome assembly